Molecule: ribosomal RNA, 253 nt
Filed under: uncultured bacterium
Lineage: Bacteria
Description: partial 16S ribosomal RNA
Rfam family: Bacterial small subunit ribosomal RNA
Source: RNAcentral
UACGUAGGGUGCGAGCGUUAAUCGGAAUUACUGGGCGUAAAGUGUGCGCAGGCGGCCGAGCAAGUCGAGUGUGAAAGCCCCGAGCUUAACUUGGGAACUGCGCUCGAAACUACUUGGCUAGAGUGUGGCAGAGGGAGGUGGAAUUCCACGUGUAGCGGUGAAAUGCGUAGAGAUGUGGAGGAACACCGAUGGCGAAGGCAGCCUCCUGGGCCAACACUGACGCUGAGGCGCGAAAGCUAGGGGAGCAAACAGG